GAAUACUGAUCGGAUUGAAACUCUCCAGACAGAGAAAUCACAACUGGAGAAAGUGGUCUUCCAAGAACUGCUCAGGAGUAAAGAACAGAUAGAAGACCUGGAGGACCUUUAUAUCCGCGAAAAAAAGAGAUGCUGCAAGUUUUUCAGAGGUCCCAAAGGGAGAAAAAACAAUAAAAAAAUAAGUGAAGAGGUGAUCGAGGACACAACCGAACAGAAGCGGGAGAAGAAAGCCAAGAGUAGGAGAAAGGGCUUCUGGAGUUGGCUCAAGUGCUGUUUCCCUUGAGCCUCCCCUUUCCUCCAUCUCCUCACCUCUUCAAUGUGUGUCCUGUCAUGUGUGUCCUGUCAUGUGUGUCCUGUCAUGUGUCGUGUGUCCUGUCCUUCUCCUCACUCCUUCUGCCUCCUUUCUCCUCACCUCUUCAACCUCUGUCACCCUCAUCCUCUCUAUUUCUUCCCUGUCCUUCCAUCUUUUCUAUUCCUUUCCUGUCCUGUCGUGUGUCCUGUCAUGUGUGUCCUGUCAUGUGUUUCCUGUCAUGUGUGUCCUGUCAUGUGUGUCCUGUCCUGUGUCCUGUCAUGUGUGUCCUGUCCUGUGUCCUGUCAUGUGUUUCCUGUCCUGUGUGUCCUGUCAUGUGUCCUGUGUCCUGUGACCCCGAGUUAGGCAGCAUCCAAAGAUAUACACCUUGAAUCUGCCUACAGACAUGUCUCAGAAUGCAGACUCCACUUUCUGUCACCAACUGACCAGUGGUGCUGCAGUGUCGGCCGAUGGCCUGUAUCGGUCCGGUAACGGCUGUAGCACCAUAUCUGCUUCACAGCUACGAGGAGACAUGUUUCAGAAAAAGAACACUCACUACUGCCAAGCAAAAUUCACUCUUCAAUUGAAACCUUCACACAUUUCUUGGUUUUUUUCCCCUACACAAUGUUCUGGGGUUUUUUCCCCUGCUUGCGGGUUAUAGUGAGUACAUGUUUAAACAAAGAUGAAGAUAUAAUAAAAAAAAUGUGAUCAAAAUAACAUUUCUGUGUAUAUGUUGAAAGUUGUUAAACUUAAAAUGUAUGUGUAUGUGGAAAUUUGAGUUUGACAUGUAUUUUUUCAUUACGAUACCAUGAUGUGUAUCUGUGUUUUUGCCAAAAAUGUAACAUUAUACUUCUUUGCUUAUGUAGAAAGACAGAGACACUGUCCUAUUUUAGGGGCGGCAUGGCUCAGUGGGCAGAGUGGCCGUCUUGCAACCGAAGGGUUGCUGGUUCGAUCCUCGCCCCGUCGUGCUCGAGGUGUCCCUGAGCAAGACACCGAACCCCGAAUUGCUCCUGAUGGGGUCGUGGUUAGCGCCUUGCAUGGCAGCUUCUGCCAUCAGUGUGUGAAUGUGUGUGUGAAUGUGAUGUAUCAUGUAAAGUGCUUUGGGUACCUUGCAGGUAUAGUAAAGCGCUAUAUAAAUACAGACCAUUUACCAUUUGAUUAAUUAGGGCACCUAUUGUAAUGAAACACUCACACCCAAUACCUCCACAGGCUGCAUGUCAGCCUGAAAAUCAGUGAGACCUCUCAGCUUCACACAGCCUUUAGAGUAACUCCAAUUGAAAUUUUGACCAGGUGAGAUCUUCCUGUCUCUGCCUUUCAAAAUAAAAGCACAGCGCAAUUUCAAAAUAAAGGCCUGCGACAGACCGGAAAACGCCAGUUAAACAAUUCCUCUCUGUCCUGUCACGUAUUCUGGCACAUAUCACAACAGCCUGACUGUCAGUUGGCAGGCAGACAGGCUCGUCCACAUCACAUCACUGCCUGAAACCGUAGCGCAGUCUUAAGUGUCUCCGAGGUACAUGGGUCACACUCUGCCUGUCCUGUCCUGUAACAAGAGAAGAGAGGGUGCCAGCCAGUUUUCUCAAACAAGGCGGCAUGGCUCAGUGGGUAGAGUGGCCGUCUUGUAACUGGAAGGUUGCCGGUUUGAUCCUCGGCCCGUUGUGCUCAUGUCGAGGUGUCCCUGAGCAAGACACCGAACCUAAUUGCUCCUGGUGGGUCGUGGUUAGCGCCUUCCAUGGCAGCUUCUGCCAUCAGUGUGUGAAUGGGUGAAAGUAACAUAUCAUGUAAAGCGCUUUGGAUAAAAGCGCUAUAUAAAUACAACCAUUUACCAUUUAAGGCCUCCACUGCAGGUACGCAUUACGUCAGCAUUUCACUGACCCAUACCCAAGUGCCCUUGUUUUCUCAGCAGCCUUCAUUCAUUCACCGUCUAGAGGAAAUGGGCCUCCCUGAUUUUGUAAGGGAAGUGCAGUGAGGUUGGUGUAUGUGGGUAAUGGAUCAAGUGACUGGUCCAAUUCCUGUUUUGCCUCCACGAAACUAUGUAGGGCACAUCCUCCUUUGGCUAAAAAUUCAGGAUGGAGGGACCUGCUUCGGUCUCUAGAAGAAUGCAAAAUAUUUUACUACAUUUUAAAAUAAAAUCUCAACUGUUCUGCAAAACUGAAACUGAAAUUUCAUGAAGCACUGUUACUAGGAAAAUUGUCAGAACCUCAUAUUGGAAAGGUUAACAAUGGAAACCUGGGAUUUGUCUUUUUCAGAGGAAAAAAUGUGUUAAAUUAUCAGGCAACAAAAUGACUAUAAUUUGGGCCUUGCUACAAUACUCUGUUAUCAAAACUGCCAUGAGUAUUUCAUCCGUCUGAUCUGUUCAUGAUUAAAACUUUCCUUGCCGGGGCAACCACAAGUCGCUGAGGACUUGAAUGCAUGCAGUUGAGCCAUAGUGCGCAAAUAAAAGACUGUCUUAGCCCAGUAGGUAAGAAAACUGAAGGCAAAAUGGCAUUGUCCAAAAGUUGUGGUUAUUUCUAGAGGCCAGCAGGAGGUGACUCCUCCGAUUGCAAAAAAUUGUAUACAACACUAUGAGAAAAUAGCCCUACUUUUCACUUGAUUUGUUCCUUCUGUAAACAUUUUCCUAAAGAGUUCGAGUUCUCACUUGCUAGUUUGUUUUCCAAUACGGCAUGAUGCUCAUUUAGUAAAUUAUAGUCCCUUUUAGAGGAGCAUAGAAGAUAAAUCAGGAUACGGCUAAGGACAGGGCUGCCUGAUUGACAGGUCACCAUGUACGGGUGUGCGGAGCAUGUGUUCUUCAAUCAGAUCCACCUCUUGAUCCGUAAAUUCGAGUUCAAAAGACACAAGAAGGCAACAAUGUAAUGUGAAACUCAAGGCUUCACCGCAGUAUGCAACAAACUCAAUGCAGUUGUAGCACGUACACACUUCAAAAUAUUUAUUUUAAUAUUUUAGAAUUUGAAAUUUAAAAGUAGGCUAGAUCAGAAGAUUAGUUUCGGCUCUCGGAGGUGAUAGCGCAAUAAUUAAAACACAGGGAGGCAGAGAAUUAUGCUUGGUGUUGGUACCGUAUAUUGAAGUGAAUUUCAAAUAUACCAAAUAAACAAAAAAAACAAAUAUUUACAAUCUGCAGGAAAUAUGGCAUGCAUGCAUUUAGAUGGAAUAUUUACAAAAAAAUAAUAAACAAAUUAUGUUGUAAAUAGCAUGUCAUUCUUGGUUUUUUGUUGGGGAAAGAGAGAGAAGCCGGUCUCUUUCCCCACUGCAACGGAAUAAAUCUACCAACCAGGAGUCAUGAUAAUACAGGUCCGUCUCAAAAAAUUAGCAUAUUGUGAUAAAGUUCAGUAUUUUCUGUAAUGUACUGAUAAACAUUAGACUUUCAUAUAUGUUAGAUUCAUUACACACAACUGAAGUAGUUCAAGCCUUUUAUUGUUUUAAUAUUGAUGAUAUUGGCCAAAAAGUUAAAAAAAAAACCUAAAACCUAUCUCAAAAAAAUUAGCAUAUUCCAUCCGACCAAUAAAAGAAAAGUGUUUUUAAUACAAAAAAGUCAACCUUCAAAUAAUUAUGUUCACUUAUGCACUCAAUACUUGGUCGGGAAUCCUUUUGCAGAAAUGACUGCUUCAAUGCGGCGUGGCAUGGAGGCAAUCAGCCUGUGGCACUGCUGAGGUGUUAUGGAGGCCCAGGAUGCUUCGAUAGCGGCCUUAAGCUCAUCCACAGUGGUGGGUCUGGUGAAUCUCAACUUCCUCUUCACAAUAUCCCACAGAUUCUCUAUGGGGUUCAGGUCAGGAGAGUUGGCAGGCCAAUUGAGCACAGCAAUACCAUGGUCAGUAAACCAUUUACCAGUGGUUUUGGCACUGUGAGCAGG
Long non-coding RNA from Acanthochromis polyacanthus (spiny chromis), 4133 nucleotides. RefSeq lists it as uncharacterized. The transcript is spliced from 3 exons. The record is from RefSeq and is a predicted model, not a curated record. Lineage: Eukaryota; Metazoa; Chordata; Actinopteri; Pomacentridae.